UCACGCCGUGAGGCCACGACCCCACCCCACCCACUGCCCGCCCAGGCGCCGCUCCGGAUCGAUUCCUCGGCUCGGCCCCAGACCACGUCCAGUCAUCGGUCAUCGCCCACGCACGUCUACGCCCUGGGCCCGCACGCCUGCCCUAAAACUGUCCCUGCCCUAGGUCACCCCCAACCAUGCCCCUAGCCCGGGCCAGGGGGCGCCUCGCCCCUAGACCUCGCUCCCACCCUUGUUCUGGCUGCUGCCCUAGACCGUCUCUUCCACGUUCUGGCCGCUUUCUGUCCGAGAUCUUAACCUCCGUCUCCAUUCCGCCCUCGCGCUCCUUCUCGACCCUACGUUCAACCUGUCCUCAAACGCCCCUCGGUUCCCGAACUUCUUUCCAGGCCACGCCCCCUCCCCGGCCCAGCCCCCGCCUUUGCCCAGGCCACGCCCCCAACCUCCGCGGGCUGGCUCCCGACUUCCGCCCGCGCCGGGGAGCCUCAGGGUCCCAGCAGGGUGAGGCGCCGAGGCCGUCCCCGGCCCACUCACCCCCAGACGUAGGCCCUGGAAGAAGUGCACGUCGGGCUGCGUGCUCUCGGGCUCCUGGCACACGAGCAGCAGCAGCGAGCAGCUCUGGCCCGGUGGCGUCACCGUAUCGCAACGCACGACGGCGCUCAGCGGGUACGACUCCAGCUCCUCCUGCGCGGGGGGACAGCGGGUCAGCUGAGGCCCGGAGCCGGAGCCGAGGGUACUCCUACGUGGCGGCAGCAGUGCCAGCAGGUACAGGCACUGCGCAGGGCAACCCCCGAGUUUGGGGGUUAGGGACGACACCCCUGUUUAACAGAUGAGGCUCUCAGGGCUCAACAAGGGGGCGGGGAUCCCUUGCCGAAGUUCCCAGAGGAGUCAGAAUUCACAUCCCUGGAGUCAGGCUCUUCAGGCCUCGGCCGGCUCAGUGCAGCCGCUCCUUCCACCCACGUGCCCCGUGGCACCUUGGAGUCCGGGUCGAGCAGCGUGAUGUGUUUGGAAGACACGCACAGCAGCAUCUCCUGGGCCCAGACGCGGCCUUGGCUGUCAAUGAGCGCCAGCUUCCGCGAGGCGUCCUCCACUGUGUGCAGGCCAUCCUCUUCACCCAGGCAGAAGGUCACCAGGUGCUGGCACGGGCCGCGGAGAAAGCAGUGAGUGCCAGGAUGAAGCCGGGGGCGCCGGGGCAUCCCCUGGAAUCAGCCUUCCAGCCUGCGACUAGCCCGACCUCCUCUGGGAAGCCCUCCAGCCAAACCACCUGCUGCACCUGUGGGGCCCAUCGCGGCCUCCAUCUGAGUGACAAGCGCCUGGGUCUAGCUAGAGGCUCCUUGAAGGCAGAGAAUGGUCUGGAUGAUAUCUAGUUCCUUCCAAGCAGCUCUAUCUCCUUUAGAGCACCAGGCACCUUUUGCUGGCACCUCUGGACCUUGUCUGACCCCCUGCUCCUCCAGGACUGCAUCUCAUUUGUCCCCGUGGUCCAGCUGUCCAGCGACAAGGGCUGGCCCAGAGGGAAACUCGCCUGCUUCAAGUGGAAUUGAGUUCCUCCCCUGGAUACCCACUUGGGAGGCAGGACGGAGGGCGUCCACUCUGCAGUUCACAUUCCACAUCUCGGCUGGAGAAUUCCGAAGACACAGAUCGGCUCAUGACCUUCCAUUGCUCAUUACUCCUCUGUGGCUCCCCAGUAACUUCUGAAUCAAAGCCAAGCUUCUCAGGCCGGUAUUUGACCUGGAAUCUGGCUCCAUCUUCCCACCACUCCGGCCUCAUUCCUUCCCCGCCUCCCACGACUUCCCCGCCCUCAACAUCUGCACACACCUGUGUGCUACCUUUUGCUGAAGCUGAUCCCACAGUGGGGAGCUCCCUUCCUGACCUGAGGAAAUCCUGUGUAUCCCUCUGGCUGUGAUCAACACCACUUCCCAGAGAAAACUUGCCCAGCAUCUAACAGAGGGCUCUUUUGCCUCCCAUGGGCUCUCAGGGUCCCUCCUCACCCCAUUGGAGCUGGGAGGUCAGCUACCUGCAAGGUUCCUGCCCUGUCUCAGGCAAAGCCCCGCCUCUCUCCCUUCCUGUAUUAAUUCCUUCUCAUCACCCUUCCCUGCUCUCUCUGCUCUGCCCCUCCUCCCUCCUUCCCGCCCUCCCUUCCUCCCGGUUUUGGAGCCGUGCUUGUGCUACUCUUAGCACCCGUACGAAGCAAACAAACCCAAAUUAAUUGGUCCAGUUACGAUGGCCAUGCAUCAAAUCAUUCCAAGACCUCCUGGACGGAGAGAAUGAAUUGGAAGCCCUCCGACGGGGGAGCGUUCUCUCAGCACCUGGGACAGCACCCAGCACGCAUCAGGACUUUAUUAGCAAGGUCAACAAUGAUAAAGCUGCGGAGUCUUGGGUGCGUCUGGGAAUCAAGUAGGAGGUCCUCGGAGGAAGGGAUUUGCCUGCAUUGUUCUCUUGAUAAUAAGAGAAGCCGUCAAGGCACUGGGGGUUAGGUCCUUGUCAUGAAUUACUUUCUUUCAAAAAUUGUUUUGCUGUAGUUGAUUUACAUUGUUCUGUCAAUUUCUGCUGUGUAGCAAAGGGACCCAGUCAUACAUCUGUACACUCUCUUUCUCGAAUUAUCAUCCAUCAUGUUCCAUCACAAGGAAUGGGACAUAGUUCUCCGUGCUGCCCAGCAGGACCUCAUUGCAUAUCCGUUCUUAAUGUAACACUUUGCAUCUCUUAACCUCACACUCCCAGUCCAACCCACUCCCUUUCCCUCCUCCUUGGCAACCACAAGUCUGUUUUCCAUGCCUGUGAGUCUGUUUCGUUUCUGUGGAUAGGUUCGUUUGUGCCAUAUUUUAGAUUCCACAUAUAAGUGAUAUCAAAAGAUAUUUGUCUUAUUUCACUUAGUAUGAGAAUCUCUAGUUCCAUCCAUGUGGCUGCAAAUGGCAUUAUUUUUAUUUUGUUCUAUUUUAUGGCUGAGUAGUAUUCCAUUGUGUAUAUGUCCCACAUCAUCUUUAUCCAUUCCUCUGUCAUUGGACACUUGGGUUGUCUCUAUGUCUUGGCUAUUGUGAAUAGUGCUGCAAUGCAUUACUUUCCUUUUUUUUGGUUGUUCUUCCGAUUUACUUCUUUACAAAGAGAAAAUAAUAUUUCCUAUGAUAGUGUCAGGUUAUACAGGCUCCUUAAUAAUAUAACAUAGAAUUACCCUUAUCAAUAUAUCUACUUACUUAGUUAUUGUUGUCAAAACUGACCCUGCAAUCAGAAACAUUGUAACAGACUAUAUUAUAUUAUUUCUCUAGAUUACAGUGUAACAAGAUAUUAAAAUAUGCAUACUAGGGAUAUGAAGUAAUGUUAUGUAAAUAAAAAUAAAAUGAAAAUGAUGCAAUUAUAUCAAUUAUCAUGGAAAAAUCAUAUAGGUAUAUUGUUGAGAGGAAGAAAGAGCCUGGAAAUAUAUUAAAUGCAAUGACUUACUUUCGGUCAUCCUUCCAAACUCUGUGACAGGGGCCAGCAAACUUUGGCCCCCCUGCUUGUUUUUGUAAAUAAAGUUUUAUUGGAACACA
Non-coding RNA from Sus scrofa (pig), 3515 nucleotides. The record is from RefSeq and is a predicted model, not a curated record. NCBI's taxonomy places the organism in Eukaryota, Metazoa, Chordata, Mammalia, Artiodactyla, Suidae.